UGAUAAGUGUGAAAUAGUUGAAUGCCUUGGACAAGCUGAAGCAGCUUUGUAAGUGUACUGCUGACAUUUCAUGAGCGCAGACGGAUCCUCAACAUCAGGAGAUGCUGCUGUGACGGUUCACUGAUGCAUGCUAAGAAAACCAGAAACAUGAUGUGGACCUUCAUAUUCCUUUCUAUCCUGUCUCUAAACGUCUGUCAGGUUUGUCACAUUUAACACAGAUGACAUUAUAAAAUUCAAAAUGAUGCCAUCAAAUUGCAUUAAACUAAAUUUCUUUCUUUUCCAGGCUGCUGCACAAGGUAAAGUGAUUUUAAGAUUGUGAAAAUGGGCAUUUCUGUGAAGCCCAGCAUCGUUCUUGAACAGAUGUAGUGUUUUCUGAUGUCCGUUUGUUUUGCAUGUUUCAGAAAACUCGACGCAAAAGUACUAUGUCAAACUGAAAAUAGACAAAAAUGCAAUCGGAAACAUAACCGAGCUACUGAGACCUUUUGUGGACGACACCAACCUGAGCGUCGAUGAUUUGAAAAUGACGACAGAGUGUAAGGAGGACUCGGCAGGUGUAAAGUGUAGCUGCAAACCAAACCACAGGUGGAGUGACGACGUUUGUUGGUCUAACAAGACGUGUUGUGGCGACUCAGAAUGCACCUUCCCAACAAACUCAGAUCAAAUGUGUGUUUCUGUCCAUUCAGUUGCUGUUUCAGGGUCUCUCACUCUGGGACAAAAUCAUUCCAAUUGUCUGAGAGAGAGCACAUCUGAAGAAUACAAGAAAUGUAAUGACACAUUGUUCAUAGAGAUGAAGAGAGUGUACAGCACUAUCAGGGGAUUUGUCACCUUAACAAUCACAGGAUACAGGAUUGGAAGCAUCAUUGCAGAUUUUAAAAUGAACAUUGAUGACCGGGUCUAUUCAAAUGAUCUGAUUGAAACAACCCUAAAGCUGAGCGAAUUCCUGCCGGCGACGCUUAAUUUGGAGACUGCAGGUUUUGUCCGCUUGUACAUGCCGCUGACCCUCGUGUGUUACGAAAAGAGCGUCGUCCUCAGGUGCCAGUCAACGGAGGACCUGAACGUUACGCCAAAGUGGAAUCUGAAAAGACCGGACAGAAUAUUUGACAUAACCUCAGGCACAAUCGCAGAUGUGGCAAUAUUAGGAAAAAGGGAGACCAAUCUCACCAUCAGAGAAGUGUCUGAACUCUGGGAAGGUAUUGGUUUCAGCCGCUGUAUUCACAUUUUAGACCUUUAACCCAACAGAGUGAAGUACAUUCAGGUAAGUCGUGCAUUUAAGCACAAUUCUGACGCACUUGUAUAGUUUAUGCAACUUUCUACUUCGGCUUUUGUAGCGGAACGUUGUACUUUUACUGCAUCUAUCUGACAGCCUUAAUCAAAGCUGAUAGAAACGAAAAGAUGGAAAGAUUCCCAAAAUCCCAGUCAUAUGCUCAUCUCUCCUUAGAAAAAGUAACACAACUGAAUCUUCAAGGAAACGGUCAGUGGUGGAGGUGCAUUGUGGGUGAUGUGGUGGAUGAAGUGGUGGAGUCAUUUAGUUCUGCUGCACUGAUUUUGUAAAACUGCACAUUCUAAGCUUGAUGGCAUUUUACGGAAACUGUGCUAAAUUUGUGAUUUUACACACUAAAUGUACAACUAACGGGUAAAAAAUUAUGCGUUGCUCAAAGUCCAACAACUCAACACAAUAUAAAGGAGGUAAAAUUAGAACCACAAGGAGAAGCUGCAGCUUUAAAGUUUGUUUAUAUGUUAACAGGUGAAAUAAGUCAAUAAUCCAAUAUUAUUAUAGUAUAAUAUCGCUACCAUAAGGAGUAACUUUGUCAAAUUAAUACUUUUACUUUUGACACUUUAGGUGCAUUUUGCUGACCAUCCUUCUGAGCCUUUGCUUAAGUAAAGUGUUGAUUGCACAACCCUUGAAACAAUAUUCAUAAACUGUAGUAUAAAUUUUUUU
This is a long non-coding RNA of Amphiprion ocellaris (clown anemonefish), 1939 nucleotides long. The record is from Ensembl. NCBI's taxonomy places the organism in Eukaryota, Metazoa, Chordata, Actinopteri, Pomacentridae.